CUACGGGUCGCAGCAGGCGAGAAAACUUUGCAAUGUGCGAAAGCACGACAAGGUUAAUCCGAGUGGUUUCUGCUAAAGGAACCUUUUGUCGGUCCUAGAAGCACCGAUGAAUAAGGGGUGGGCAAGUUCUGGUGUCAGCCGCCGCGGUAAAACCAGCACCUCAAGUGGUCAGGAUGAUUAUUGGGCCUAAAGCAUCCGUAGCCGGCUCUGUAAGUUUUCGGUUAAAUCUGUACGCUUAACGUCCAGGCUGCCGGGAAUACUGCAUAGCUAGGGAGUGGGAGAGGUAGACGGUACUCGGUAGGAAGGGGUAAAAUCCUUUGAUCUAUUGAUGACCACCUGUGGCGAAGGCGGUCUACCAGAACACGUCCGACGGUGAGGGAUGAAAGCUGGGGGAGCAAACCGGAUUAGAUACCCGGGUAGUC
This 422-nucleotide ribosomal RNA is filed under the name uncultured archaeon. Its description in RNAcentral is "partial 16S ribosomal RNA". It matches the Rfam family "Archaeal small subunit ribosomal RNA", at positions 323 to 746 of the family's 1478-position model. The record is from RNAcentral.